Non-coding RNA from Picea glauca (white spruce), 426 nucleotides. The record is from Rfam. Lineage: Eukaryota; Viridiplantae; Streptophyta; Pinopsida; Pinales; Pinaceae.
CAUUUGAAGGGCUAAUUCCCAAUCUAGAAAUAUUGCGUGGGUGAAGAAGGGCACACAAAUCUCUUUCGUUGAGUUUCAAUCAUGACAAGACUCGAGGAAGAAACCCUGACUAACUUCGUGCCAACAACCUAGUAAAACAGGGGGUGUUAUUUGAAAUGACUUGGCAUAAAGGGCACGCAGACGGUGAAAAGGGUGGAGAGUGAAAGUCACCAAAGAACUAGUAGGGCAUUUGGCUUGAGUGAAAUAGGGGCGAGUGGAAUUUCAUGUGGAGGGAUCAAAAUGCAGAGAUAUAUGAAGGAACGUCGACCACAAAGAAAGCUCUCUUGGUCCCCACUGACGUUGGGAUACAAAAGCAUGGGGAACAAACAAGAUCAGAUACAUGUCCAUGUUGUAAGCGAUGAGUGUUCAUCCUUGAUCUAACCAUAU